Molecule: ribosomal RNA, 498 nt
Filed under: uncultured bacterium
Lineage: Bacteria
Description: partial 16S ribosomal RNA
Rfam family: Bacterial small subunit ribosomal RNA
Source: RNAcentral
ACUCAAAUGAAUAGACGGGGGCCCGCACAAGCGGUGGAGCAUGUGGUUUAAUUCGAUGCUACGCGAAAAACCUUACCUAGGCUUGACAUCCCGCGCUAUCCCGUGAAAGCGGGAGUUCCCUUACGGGACGCGGUGACAGGUGCUGCAUGGCUGUCGUCAGCUCGUGUUGUGAGAUGUUGGGUUAAGUCCCGCAACGAGCGCAACCCUCGCCUCUAGUUGCCAUCAUUAAGUUGGGCACUCUAGUGGGACCGCUGAGCUAUAAGCCAGAGGAAGGUGGGGAUGACGUCAAGUCCUCAUGGCCUUUAUGUCUAGGGCUACACACGUGCUACAAUGGGAGAUACAAAACGUUGCCAACUUGUAAAAGUGAGCUAAUCGUAAAAAGUCUCUUUCAGUUCGGAUUGAAGUCUGCAACUCGACUUCAUGAAGCUGGAAUCGCUAGUAAUCGCGGAUCAGCAUGCCGCGGUGAAUACGUUCCCGGGCCUUGUACACACCGCCCGU